Molecule: long non-coding RNA, 341 nt
Filed under: Elaeis guineensis (African oil palm)
Lineage: Eukaryota; Viridiplantae; Streptophyta; Magnoliopsida; Arecales; Arecaceae
Description: long non-coding RNA (EGUI_LNC048251)
Source: RNAcentral
UCCCCGUUAUUAAACCCCUUUGUUGAAAAAAUUCUCCCUCGAGCCCCCUUUAAGGCGACGGGAACCCACGGCGGCAGUUUGACAAUCGGAGAACUCGCAUACCACUGUUCUCCUCCCCGCACUCUUCCUAGUCUGUGGCAUCCUCUUGAGGUUGGCCUCCGCGGUAGAGGCCCAAGCGGGAGAACCCCUCAGAGAGACUCGGGGGACCGAAGACGGUGGAGGGCCGACGGAGAUGGCAAAGGCCGGCGCAAAGGACGCUCGGAGUCAGAAAGGGCACCGAUGGAGUGGUUGUGUGGCUAGGCUCUCAAGCGGAAGAAAGGCGUCGACCCUCAGGCGAGGUG